RNAcentral lists this microRNA (21 nucleotides) under Oryza sativa (Asian cultivated rice). RNAcentral's name for it is "osa-miR1432-3p". The record is from miRBase by way of RNAcentral. Lineage: Eukaryota; Viridiplantae; Streptophyta; Magnoliopsida; Poales; Poaceae.
CAGGUGUCAUCUCCCCUGAAC